CUGGCUAAGAGAGACAUGUAAGGGCUGGAUGUAAACUCCCAGAGGGCACCUCCUGGGCUAGAGAAGAUGCAGCAUGAGCUCAGGAAUUCAACACAACACGAAAUAAUCAACAAAUUCGGGGAAUGUUAAUCUGACCAUCACCAGUUACAAAUGAUGUUUCAUGCUACCUUCUAUUCCUGCCUUCAUAAAUCAAGGUAAUUACUUGGCAAUCUGGCUAUGCCUUGUAAGGCAAAAGAGCUGUUCAUUUCUUGUGUCAAAUGGUGAACAGGGAGGGAGAGUAAAAUGGUAAAUAACCCUGCCUCCCAUCUGUGCCCAAUCAGCUCUAAAUCUCCAGGAAAAAAUGUGCUCAGGAUGGCCAGAGAAAUGUCCUUCCAACUGUGCAUGGAAAGGUAUGAUUUUGUGCAGCAGGUGAAGGACUGGUUAGAGUAAGUGUGUGCUGAGCUUUUGUGUUUGAAAGCGAGCCUGUGCACUUCUAACGAUUGGAAGGUUUCCUUGCCUUCUCCGAUCUUACACACAGCAAGGACAGCAAAGCCUUCCAGACCUGCCUGUGACAUGCACUGCACAUUCUAAAGAUGCCUAUGCAAUGGAAAACACCACUGUCUGCUCCAGCACAGCUGCCAUUCUUCCAUCUUAUCGACCUUAAUGCAACAACUCCUCACAGGCAGAGAUUUUAAAAUGUGUUCUUGGCAGAAGAGAGACUCAAAGAUGGGACAAAUGUGUCAUUUAAAUGCCUGUUAAAAUGGAAACAGACAUAGUAUAGUCAGAGGAUUGUGGCAGCUAAGAACAUAGUCUCUGGAGCAAAUCUGCAUGGGUGGCAAUGCCAAGCACAUGAGGUCCUAGUUGUAUGAACUUAGGAAAAGAAAAAGAGAACAUAUAUCCCCCUACCUUUUGAUUUCCAACAGUCUACUGAGAGGCCAAGAUUAUUUGCAGGGAAAGAAAAGGGGAAUGCCAUCCCCACCCUCUCGCAGCUACG
RNAcentral lists this long non-coding RNA (973 nucleotides) under Homo sapiens (human). RNAcentral's name for it is "non-protein coding LINC00710:24". The record is from RNAcentral. Lineage: Eukaryota; Metazoa; Chordata; Mammalia; Primates; Hominidae.